UUUCAGGUUUUGAGACUCAGACUGGCUUCUUUGCUUCUCAACUUGCAGAUGGCCUACUAUGAGACUUCACCUUGUGAUCGUGUUUCUGUAGAGGUGGAGUCCGGGAAUGACUUUAUUGUGUCUUCUCACUCUGGUCCUUCACAGACUGCAGUCAAGUGUCAGCUGGAGCUGCGGUCAUCUCAAGCCUCUACAGGAAGAAAGGCCAUCUUCAGGCUUGCUCAUGUGGUUGUUGGCAGGAUUCAGUUUUUCUCUGGUAGCUGGACUGAGGGAAUCAGUUCCUCAUGAGCUGUUGGCCAGACACCUAUCUUAGUACUUUGUCUCAUACACCUCUCCGUACAGCAUUUCACAGCAUGAUAACUUUCUUCAUCAAAGCAAGGAAAUGAGAGAGCAAGAAUGGGUUAGCAAGAUGGAAGCUAGAAUCUUUCUUGUAAGCUGAUGUUGGAUAUGACGUUCCAUCACUUUGGCUGUAUUCUAUCCAUUAGAAGCAAAUAAUUAAGUUCAGUUGACACUGAAAUGGAGGAGAUUACACAAGGGCAUGAAUACCAGGCAUAAGGCAUCAUUCGAAACUAUUUUAGAAGAGGCUACCACAAGCUGUAUACAAAAUAUACUAGUUGCUCAGAGAAGUCUUUAAAUCUAAUAAAUUUUAAAUCUAAGUGGGAGUAAAUAAUCUAACAGAUUUUAAUAAAGUUGGAGUAAGAACUGAAAAGAAGCAAGAGGUAUUUGAAUUGUGGGAUGGAGCUUGUAUAGUAGUUAUAUUAUAUUGUGUUACGCGUCUUUUGUAUGGAUGGGGAUAUUUAAAACAAGAGAAUAAAGACAUUUCUGGAAGCUGGAAGAAUAUAGGAAAGCAUGUUGAGUCAUGAAGCUAUGGAGACAAGUCAUGGAUAAAAUUGUAGACAAUAGAUCUUAAAUUUUGGAAAGGCUGAAAAUCCAUUUGAAUAAUUGAUGAGAAACAAUACUGUUCUCAAAGGAAAAGACCAAAAACAGUUUUUUUUUGGUUGGUUUUGUUUUGUUUUGUUUUUUACUUUUCUGAGACCCAAGUUAAAAAACAAACAAAAACCUUAAGGUUAAUUGGGGCUGAGAAAAAUUUUGAAGGGCAUUCUUCCUAGGAAAUUGGAAUUUUAUUCUACCAGAUAAUGAUCAGUCUCUGAAGAAACUUUAAAAAGGAGAAUAAUUGAGGGUAUUCACUAACAAUGAUUGCAGUGUCACUAACAGAUUAGGGGGAAAGAGGCAGAUUAUUAAGCUAUUGUAGUAAUCCAGGCAAUAAGAUACAGAUAUCUGAAUAGGGCAAUGAUGAUUGGGUAGGGAAAAAGACUUAUCUCUGGGACGUAUAAUCAAUUGAACUUGACUAAAUUAAAACUCAGAUGGUAUAGAAUGGAGGAUGAUUUUAUAUUUCUGGUUUUAGAAACUGGAUCAUAACAUUUUGAGAGAUAUGAUACUUUUUGGAUAAGAAAACAAAAAAAUCAUCAACAUAAGUGUGUGUAUAUUAACAAAUAUAUCAGUUUUCCUAGAAAUAAAAGAGCAG
RNAcentral lists this long non-coding RNA (1522 nucleotides) under Homo sapiens (human). Its description in RNAcentral is "HSALNT0075237". Lineage: Eukaryota; Metazoa; Chordata; Mammalia; Primates; Hominidae. The record is from RNAcentral.